GAUGAACGCUGGCGGCGUGCCUAAUACAUGCAAGUCGAGCGAACGGACGAGAAGCUUGCUUCUCUGAUGUUAGCGGCGGACGGGUGAGUAACACGUGGAUAACCUACCUAUAAGACUGGGAUAACUUCGGGAAACCGGAGCUAAUACCGGAUGAUAUUUUGAACCGCAUGGUUCAAAAGUGAAAGACGGUCUUGCUGUCACUUAUAGAUGGAUCCGCGCUGCAUUAGCUAGUUGGUAAGGUAACGGCUUACCAAGGCAACGAUGCAUAGCCGACCUGAGAGGGUGAUCGGCCACACUGGAACUGAGACACGGUCCAGACUCCUACGGGAGGCAGCAGUAGGGAAUCUUCCGCAAUGGGCGAAAGCCUGACGGAGCAACGCCGCGUGAGUGAUGAAGGUCUUCGGAUCGUAAAACUCUGUUAUUAGGGAAGAACAUAUGUGUAAGUAACUGUGCACAUCUGGACGGUACCUAAGCAGAAAGCCACGGCUAACUACGG
RNAcentral lists this ribosomal RNA (496 nucleotides) under uncultured bacterium. Its description in RNAcentral is "partial 16S ribosomal RNA". It matches the Rfam family "Bacterial small subunit ribosomal RNA", at positions 28 to 506 of the family's 1533-position model. The record is from RNAcentral.